RNAcentral lists this long non-coding RNA (1776 nucleotides) under Homo sapiens (human). RNAcentral describes it as "HSALNT0297377". The record is from RNAcentral. Lineage: Eukaryota; Metazoa; Chordata; Mammalia; Primates; Hominidae.
AGACACUGGGAUGGCUGCACCUUUACCCGUCCUCUCCAACUCUCUCCACCUAGAAAGUAUUCUUUUCUCUUAAUUUUGUUAGAGUUAUAUAGGAAUGCUCCUUCAGCAGAAAUGACAGAGGCUGUUGCUCUCAGAAUCAAAUGCAAUAAUGUGACCUGUAAAUUCCUGUGAAUAUUUGGAUAUUUUAGCGAUAUUUGUUUAUUCAGAAGAGAUUCUGGAUGCAGAACUCUCCUCCUCUCUGUUCUCUAACCCUGCUUUCCACCAUCAUUCUUCUCUCUCUAGGGCACAGAGAGAAUUAAGAACAACCUAAGGGUCAUUACAAUGAUCUAACUGCCUUACCUGCUUUUGAACUGGUUGAGCCUCUUGUGGGACCGAAAACAAAAGAAGGGUGUUGAAAUGCAAAUAGAUAACUCUGGGUCCCAGUCCCUGACUGCAAAAGGAAGCCAAAACUGACAACAACGUCUCCUUCUCUACGGAGGUUUGUAGAAAGGCUGUACAAAAAUCUCACAAGAUGUAUUUCUUCUCGUGGACUGGAGUCCCAAGGUGCUUAAGAGCUCUUCAAUUUGUUAAUGGAAAGAAACACCAUUUACACCGGAUGGCUACAAAGCAACCUUAUUCUGAGAGAGAGGAUCUCAUUCUGUCACCCAGGCUGGAGUGCAUGAUCAUAGCUCACUGCAGCCUCGACCUCCUGGGCUCAAGUGAUCCUCCUGCUCCAGCCUCUCAAGUAGCUAGGACUACAGAUCUUUUCUCAGAAUAGCAGUCUGUAGGCUGUCACCUAAAGUGUCCUGUUUUCAGUGCUGCACCUGCUCUGAGCUUCAUCUUUUUACGAAGACGUCAUGGUGUGCUAUCUGUACUGGGAAACUUUCCCCAGCAUCAGCCAUCUCCUGAAGAUAACAUUGUCUGCUAGAGAUUGUCAUGUAUGUGGAUUGAAUCUCUUUAUCUUCAUGGUCCUCUUUCUGUGCCCCCAGCCCGGUUGACAAUGUGUGCCUUCACUCACCCAAUUAGAAACCUUGGAGGUAUCCUGUACUCUUCUGUCACUUACCCUCAGCCUAAAGCCAAUCAGUCACCAAAGUAUUGUCUGUCAUUAUCAUCAUCAUCAUCAUCAUCACUGUCACCACUGAUGGAGUGAGAACCUUGUGCAGUUGAGCAUGAACCCCAAUUUCAUUUGCAAAAUGACCCAGACAGCAGAUUUCAUCUCAUAUGAAAUAAGCAAGGUGAGGUUUUGAUGACGUUACAGACAUGGCUAAGAAGAGGUUGAGAACCAGCAUUCAGCCCACCUGACUCCAAAGCUCAUGCCCCGAACCUCAGAAACUUCUCCAGUGAGUUCCUUUUUUUUAAUGGCAGGAUCACACCAUUAGUUUGGACUGGAUCCAACCUGGAUUGUUGCAACAGCCUUUGAUCUGAUCUGUCAAGCCCUGUGCCUUCUGUGCAACCCAUUCUCUACCCUGGCACGAGCAUUACUAAAAUACCAAUCUGGUCCUAUGACUCCUCUGCAUAAAAACCACGGCUGGGGCUGGUCAAGUGCAACAGUGUUUACAACUAAUUGAUCACAACCAGUUACAGAUAUCUUUGUUCCUUCUUUAGCCAAAAACAAACAGAAAAACAAACAAAACCCAAAUAACAAAAACAAACACAAAAAACCCCCCAUUGUUUGUUCCCUUUUGCAUCUUUUGAAUUCUAAACUCCUCACAUAGCAUAAAAUCCCCUUCUGGGUCUUUUCCCAGCCUACAACCCACUUCCCCACCUGCCCCAUUCCCCCUGUUGCUCCUACCUCUG